This 427-nucleotide ribosomal RNA is filed under the name uncultured bacterium. RNAcentral's name for it is "bacterial SSU rRNA". It matches the Rfam family "Bacterial small subunit ribosomal RNA", at positions 355 to 774 of the family's 1533-position model. The record is from RNAcentral.
UGAGGAAUAUUGGACAAUGGGCGCAAGCCUGAUCCAGCCACGCCGCGUGCAGGAUGAAGGCCUUCGGGUUGUAAACUGCUUUUGUACGGAGCGAAAAGGUCUGCCCUAAUACGGUGGGCUCAUGACGGUACCGUAAGAAUAAGCACCGGCUAACUACGUGCCAGCAGCCGCGGUAAUACGUGGGGUGCGAGCGUUAAUCGGAAUUACUGGGCGUAAAGCGUGCGCAGGCGGUUAUAUAAGACAGAUGUGAAAUCCCCGGGCUCAACCUGGGACCUGCAUUUGUGACUGUAUAGCUAGAGUACGGUAGAGGGGGAUGGAAUUCCGCGUGUAGCAGUGAAAUGCGUAGAUAUGCGGAGGAACACCGAUGGCGAAGGCAAUCCCCUGGACCUGUACUGACGCUCAUGCACGAAAGCGUGGGGAGCAAACA